GGGCCCUUAGCUCAGUUGGUAGAGCAGCGGACUUUUAAUCCGUCGGUCCAGGGUUCGAAUCCCUGAGGGCCCACCA
RNAcentral lists this transfer RNA (76 nucleotides) under Chloroflexota bacterium. Its description in RNAcentral is "tRNA-Lys". It matches the Rfam family "tRNA". Rfam says of the family: Transfer RNA (tRNA) molecules are approximately 80 nucleotides in length. Lineage: Bacteria; Bacillati; Chloroflexota. The record is from RNAcentral.